UACGUAGGGAGCGAGCGUUGUUCGGAAUCACUGGGCGUAAAGCGCACGCAGGCGGAUUGAUAAGUCAGGGGUGAAAUCCCGGAGCUCAACUUCGGAAUUGCCUUUGAUACUGUCUGUCUUGAGUCCGGGAGAGGUGAGUGGAAUUCCUAGUGUAGAGGUGAAAUUCGUAGAUAUUAGGAAGAACACCAGUGGCGAAGGCGGCUCACUGGCCCGGUACUGACGCUCAUGUGCGAAAGCGUGGGGAGCAAACAGG
Molecule: ribosomal RNA, 253 nt
Filed under: uncultured bacterium
Lineage: Bacteria
Description: partial 16S ribosomal RNA
Rfam family: Bacterial small subunit ribosomal RNA
Source: RNAcentral